Molecule: ribosomal RNA, 1888 nt
Filed under: human vaginal metagenome
Description: bacterial LSU rRNA
Rfam family: Bacterial large subunit ribosomal RNA
Source: RNAcentral
GGGGUCUUUUUGUUGCUUGUCUGCCGGCGAGUAGAUUCCGGGAUGAUUGUUUUGGCGAAGGGUUUGGAAUGGCCUGCCGUAGUGCGUGAGAGUCGUGUAGUUUUUGAUGAUUGUUCUGGUUUGGAGAAGGUGCCCGAGUAGUGCGGGACUCGUGGAAUCUCGUGUGAAUCUGCCCAGACCACUGGGUAAGCCUGAAUACUUACUUGUGACCGAUAGUGGAUUAGUACCGUGAGGGAAUGGUGAAAAGUACCCCGGGAGGGGAGUGAAAUAGUUCCUGAAACCGGGCGCUUACAAGCCGUCAGAGCCUGUUUGUUGGGUGAUGGCGUGCCUAUUGAAGAAUGAGCCUGCGAGUUAGUGACAUGUGGCUUGGUUAACCCGUGUGGGGUAGUCGUAGCGAAAGCGAGUCUGAUAAGGGCGUUUGGUCGCGUGUUCUAGACCCGAAGCGGGGUGAUCUACGCAUGGUCAGGUUGAAGCUAUGGUAAGACGUGGUGGAGGACCGAACCCACUUCAGUUGAAAAUGGAGGGGAUGAACUGUGCGUAGGGGUGAAAGGCCAAUCAAACUCCGUGAUAGCUGGUUCUCCCCGAAAUGCAUUUAGGUGCAGCGUUGAGUUUAGGUUUGUGUGAGGUAGAGCUACUGGUUGGUCAAUGGGCCUUGUUGGUUACUGAGACCAGCCAAACUCCGAAUGCGCAUUAAACUAUUGCUUGGCAGUGAGACAGCGGGGGAUAAGCUUCGUUGUCAAAAGGGAAACAGCCCAGAUCGCCGGUUAAGGCCCCUAAGGGUAUGCUUAGUGGGAAAGGAUGUGUAGUUGCUGUGACAGCCAGGAGGUUGGCUUAGAAGCAGCCAUCCUUGAAAGAGUGCGUAAUAGCUCACUGGUUUAGUGAUUGCGCGCCGAUAAUUUAGCGGGGCUUAAGCAUACCGCCGAUACCGUGGCUUCCAUACGUGUGCUGGCUGCUCUUUGUUGGGUGGUUGGUGUGUGGUUGGGUAGGGGAGCGUCCUGCAUGAGGUGAAGUUUCGGAGUGAUCCGGGGUGGAUUGUGUGGGAGUGAGAAUGCAGGCAUGAGUAGCGAUUGAGAAGUGAGAAUCUUUUCCGUCUUAUAACUAAGGGUUCCAGGGGUAGGUUCGUCCGCUCUGGGUUAGUCGGGUCCUAAGGCGAGGCCGUCAGGCGUAGUCGAUGGUUAACCAGUUUUUAUUCUGGUACCGGCAUAUUCUCGUUCAGUGGUGAGGCGCAUAGUACUAACCAAUAUUUACUGCUGGUUUUCCCUUUCGGGGGUUUGCUGGUGGUGGUCUUGGGACCGAUGUGUGUAGUAGUCAAGCGUGUUAACAGGGGUGACGCAGUUAGAUAGCUCAGCGUCGUGAUGGUUUACGGCGUUCAAGCAUGUGGCCUAUCGGGUUGGUAAAUCCGCUCGUGUUUGGGUGAGGUGUGAUGGUGACCUGUUUUUGUGGGGAUAUUGGGUGAUUCUGUGCUGUCUAGAAAAGCCUCGGCGUUAGAGGGUGUGUUGCCCGUACCCUAAACCGACACAGGUGGUUUGGUAGAGAAUACUAAGACGUGCGAGUGAAUCAUGGUUAAGGAACUCGGCAAAAUGCCUCCGUAACUUUGGGAGAAGGAGGACCCGGCCUUUUACAUUACCUUUGCGGUUUUGGUGGGGGUUGGGGCGCAGAGACCAGGGGGAAGCGACUGUUUAUCAAAAACAUAGGUGUGUGCGAAGCCGUAAGGCGAUGUAUACGCACUGACGCCUGCCCGGUGCUGGAAGGUUAAGAGGAACCCUUAAUCGGCUUUUGUUGGUGAAGGGGUGAAUUUAAGCCCCAGUAAACGGCGGUGGUAACUAUAACCAUCCUAAGGUAGCGAAAUUCCUUGUCGGGUAAGUUCCGACCUGCACGAAUGGCGUAA